UGAAGUUAGCAAAGGGAAAGUUCAGUUGUGCUGGCGCGAAAUCAACCUUCUCGUCUUGGGAUCACAUGGCGUGGCGAGCCUCAAAACCGUCACGAAGCGUGAACUCUUGGUGAAAUGGAGCACUUUCGUGUCCGCUGGUUAACAUCAAUUUCGAACGUCAUAAAAAGGCUGGAGGGAUGUGGCUCCUUCGGGAGUGUUAUAACCUUUAGCGGAAUGUGGUGGUCGGGAUUGAGGAUUGCAACGAAUACCUUUAGGGCUGUUCCACCUGGCCUCUCUCUGGUAUCCUGGUGACGACAGCUUGCUGACGUCGUUAGGAUCCGCCUUUGAACGGGCUAGAGUGUGAGCAAA
Molecule: ribosomal RNA, 348 nt
Filed under: uncultured Glomus
Lineage: Eukaryota; Fungi; Glomeromycota; Glomeromycetes; Glomerales; Glomeraceae
Description: eukaryotic LSU rRNA
Source: RNAcentral